RNAcentral lists this transfer RNA (71 nucleotides) under Loxodonta africana (African savanna elephant). It matches the Rfam family "tRNA". From Rfam's summary of the family: Transfer RNA (tRNA) molecules are approximately 80 nucleotides in length. Their secondary structure includes four short double-helical elements and three loops (D, anti-codon, and T loops). Lineage: Eukaryota; Metazoa; Chordata; Mammalia; Proboscidea; Elephantidae. The record is from Rfam by way of RNAcentral.
GCAAUGGCUGUUCAGUGGUAGAAUUCUCACCUUCCAUGGGAGAGACCUGGGUUGGAUUCCCAGCCAAUGCC